AGAAUCAACGCUGGCGGCGUGCCUAACACAUACAAGUCGCACGAGAAAGGGGAGCAAUCCCUGAGUACAGUGGCGCACGGGUGAGUAACACGUGAAUAAUCUACCUCCGAGUGGGGAAUAACUGAGAGAAAUCUUAGCUAAUACCGCAUAACACUUACGAGUCAAAGCAGCAAUGCGCUUGGAGAGGAGUUCGCGGCCGAUUAGUUAGUUGGCGGGGUAAUGGCCCACCAAGACGAUGAUCGGUA
This 245-nucleotide ribosomal RNA is filed under the name uncultured bacterium. RNAcentral describes it as "partial small subunit ribosomal RNA". It matches the Rfam family "Bacterial small subunit ribosomal RNA", at positions 26 to 285 of the family's 1533-position model. The record is from RNAcentral.